RNAcentral lists this ribosomal RNA (413 nucleotides) under uncultured bacterium. Its description in RNAcentral is "bacterial SSU rRNA". It matches the Rfam family "Bacterial small subunit ribosomal RNA", at positions 29 to 484 of the family's 1533-position model. The record is from RNAcentral.
AGCGAACGCUGGCGGCAGGCUUAACACAUGCAAGUCGAGCGGGCGUAGCAAUACGUCAGCGGCAGACGGGUGAGUAACGCGUGGGAACAUACCUUUUGGUUCGGAACAACACAGGGAAACUUGUGCUAAUACCGGAUAAGCCCUUACGGGGAAAGAUUUAUCGCCGAAAGAUUGGCCCGCGUCUGAUUAGCUAGUUGGUGAGGUGAUGGCUCACCAAGGCGACGAUCAGUAGCUGGUCUGAGAGGAUGAUCAGCCACAUUGGGACUGAGACACGGCCCAAACUCCUACGGGAGGCAGCAGUGGGGAAUAUUGGACAAUGGGCGCAAGCCUGAUCCAGCCAUGCCGCGUGAGUGAUGAAGGCCCUAGGGUUNUAAAGCUCUUUUGUGCGGGAAGAUAAAUGACGGUACCGCAAG